GAUGAACGCUGGCGGCGUGCCUAAUACAUGCAAGUCGAGCGAACAGACGAGGAGCUUGCUCCUCUGACGUUAGCGGCGGACGGGUGAGUGACACGUGGAUAACCUACCUAUAAGACUGGGAUAACUUCGGGAAACCGGAGCUAAUACCGGAUAAUAUAUUGAACCGCAUGGUUCAAUAGUGAAAGACGGUUUUGCUGUCACUUAUAGAUGGAUCCGCGCCGCAUUAGCUAGUUGGUAAGGUAACGGCUUACCAAGGCAACGAUGCGUAGCCGACCUGAGAGGGUGAUCGGCCACACUGGAACUGAGACACGGUCCAGACUCCUACGGGAGGCAGCAGUAGGGAAUCUUCCGCAAUGGGCGAAAGCCUGACGGAGCAAUGCCGCGUGAGUGAUGAAGGUCUUCGGAUCGUAAAACUCUGUUAUUAGGGAAGAACAAAUGUGUAAGUAACUAUGCACGUCUUGACGGUACCUAAUCAGAAAGCCACGGCUAACUACGUG
RNAcentral lists this ribosomal RNA (497 nucleotides) under uncultured bacterium. RNAcentral's name for it is "partial 16S ribosomal RNA". It matches the Rfam family "Bacterial small subunit ribosomal RNA", at positions 28 to 507 of the family's 1533-position model. The record is from RNAcentral.